GAUGAACGCUGGCGGCGUGCCUAAUACAUGCAAGUCGAGCGAACAGAUGAGGAGCUUGCUCCUCUGACGUUAGCGGCGGACGGGUGAGUAACACGUGGAUAACCUACCUAUAAGACUGGGAUAACUUCGGGAAACCGGAGCUAAUACCGGAUAAUAUAUUGAACCGCAUGGUUCAAUAGUGAAAGACGGUUUUGCUGUCACUUAUAGAUGGAUCCGCGCCGCAUUAGCUAGUUGGUAAGGUAACGGCUUACCAAGGCAACGAUGCGUAGCCGACCUGAGAGGGUGAUCGGCCACACUGGAACUGAGAGACGGUCCAGACUCCUACGGGAGGCAGCAGUAGGGAAUCUUCCGCAAUGGGCGAAAGCCUGACGGAGCAACGCCGCGUGAGUGAUGAAGGUCUUCGGAUCGUAAAACUCUGUUAUUAGGGAAGAACAAAUGUGUAAGUAACUAUGCACGUCUUGACGGUACCUAAUCAGAAAGCCACGGCUAACUACGUG
This 497-nucleotide ribosomal RNA is filed under the name uncultured bacterium. RNAcentral's name for it is "partial 16S ribosomal RNA". It matches the Rfam family "Bacterial small subunit ribosomal RNA", at positions 28 to 507 of the family's 1533-position model. The record is from RNAcentral.